GCAGUCGACGGCAGCACGGACUUCGGUCUGGUGGCGAGUGGCGAACGGGUGAGUAAUAUAUCGGAACGUGCCCAGUCGUGGGGGAUAACGUAGUGAAAAUUACGCUAAUACCGCAUACGAUCUAAGGAUGAAAGCGGGGGAUCGCAAGACCUCGCGCGAUUGGAGCGGCCGAUAUCAGAUUAGGUAGUUGGUGAGGUAAAGGCUCACCAAGCCAACGAUCUGUAGCUGGUCUGAGAGGACGACCAGCCACACUGGAACUGAGACACGGUCCAGACUCCUACGGGAGGCAGCAGUGGGGAAUUUUGGACAAUGGACGCAAGUCUGAUCCAGCCAUUCCGCGUGCAGGACGAAGGCCUUCGGGUUGUAAACUGCUUUUGUACAGAACGAAAAGGUCUCUAUUAAUACUGGGGGCUCAUGACGGUACUGUAAGAAUAAGCACCGGCUAACUACGUGCCAGCAGCCGCGGUAAUACGUAGGGUGCAAGCGUUAAUCGGAAUUACUGGGCGUAAAGCGUGCGCAGGCGGUUAUAUAAGACAGAUGUGAAAUCCCCGGGCUCAACCUGGGAACUGCAUUUGUGACUGUAUAGCUGGAGUGCGGCAGAGGGGGAUGGAAUUCCGCGUGUAGCAGUGAAAUGCGUAGAUAUGCGGAGGAACACCGAUGGCGAAGGCAAUCCCCUGGGCCUGCACUGACGCUCAUGCACGAAAGCGUGGGGAGCAACAGGAUUAGAUACCCUGGUAGUCACGCCCUAACGAUGUCACUGGUUGU
Molecule: ribosomal RNA, 765 nt
Filed under: uncultured bacterium
Lineage: Bacteria
Description: bacterial SSU rRNA
Rfam family: Bacterial small subunit ribosomal RNA
Source: RNAcentral